UGAUUUUGAUGUCAACGAUUAUGGUGAGGAGGAUAAGGAGAAACAAGGAGAAGAGGGAAAAAAUCGAGAUGAGGGAAGAGUUGAGGAAGACCAAAGUGGAUGGAAUAAUGAUGAGAUGGAAUAACUUGAGAAAGUGUAUAAGGAUCUUCAAAUUAGUUUUGGAUUUUUAAGUGAGGAGUUACUACACUUUUUAAUACAAUUUUUCAGUGAUAGGUGGUAGUAGUAUGCAGUGAGAGUGGUUCCCACUUUUCGGCAACCAGUUUGGUUGAGAUUGUAGCUGAAGAUUUGAAGUUUAUCAUGAAAGUCAGAUUAGAUUGGAAAGGAAAUUUUGGAAGUCCAGAGAAGCAGGGGUGAGCUAGAGAUGGAGGAAACAUGAUGGGGAAGAACAAGGAUCUUCAAGAACGUGCCAUCGCAUCAACAAACAGAGAUUGAAGAAGUGGCUUCCAGAAUAGUGGAACGGCAAUAAAAUCAUGUCACACGCCUGAAAGCAGGAAAAGAUUCCUUUUUUUUUCUUCUUCCUCCAAAUGCAUACUAUUAGUUAUUUAUUUUAAAGUGGGGCCAACACUAUGGGCUUCAGGUUUGAACAUUAGUGUUCUUUUCUUUUGUUGAUUACUUUAAGUAUUCAUUUUUUGUUGUUGUUUGUUUUGUUGUUUAGGGUUUCAGACAUAUACAAACGAGUUGCAGCUAAAAGUGUUGUCGUAAAUGGUUCUGUAAUUUGCAGGGAACACCUCUGAAUCUCAUUUCGUCAAUCACCCGCGAAAAGCCAAAACCUUCUUACCUGGUGGAAGGUUAUCAGAGAAGAUCUUUGUCCAAUGGGUUGAAGAGAGUUAAUCUGGCAGCAAUUCCAAAAACCACCAUUUAGGGGAAGAAAACGAGAAUGUUAGCUUUUGAUUGGAUGAUUAGGGUAAACAAUGGAUUGAGAACUCAUUGUCCCUCAGGUAAUGAAGCAGCACUCUCUUCUGCAGCAAUUUGAGCGCGAUCUUUUCCUUUCAAAUCAGGAUUUGAACACCAAAUUUUGAGCGCAAUUUUUUCAUUUAAAAUUAGAGUUUAAAAUGACAUCCUCAAGCGCCUCUACCACACCGAAGAUGCCCCUCAAGAUAUGAUGGAGAUGAAGGUAGAAGUCGUGGCGAUGCUAAAGUCGCUGCACCGCUGGCGGCAUUCCUUCAUAACCCGUUGGCUGUGCAGGAGUUGAGGGCUAACAAGAAAGAAUUGCGAGUAGAAAAGUUGAAGGACAAAGAGGAAGUAGAGGACUUAACUCAGGAAAUGGCUGAGCUGUGGUAUCGAACUCUCAUCCCUAGACCUCAAGCUUCAUCUCUCCAACUCAAUUGGCAGGAAUGGAUCUUUGGUUGAUGGAUGGAAGUGGUCGAGGCCUAAUGGAGGGCAUGCAGGACUAACAUAAGCAAUGAAGACAUGAAAUAUUUAAACAAAACAAGAAAGGGAUUUCACUGUUGAGCAAUCUGCAAGGAUGAUUGAUGCAUACUGUAUGCUUAGCAAGUCUUUGUCUAGAGCAAUUUACAUGCUGGUGACAACGAGAUUGCUGCCUGUAUUUACAUGUGAUCUUAUAACUCGC
This is a long non-coding RNA of Arachis duranensis, 1570 nucleotides long. RefSeq lists it as uncharacterized. The record is from RefSeq and is a predicted model, not a curated record. Lineage: Eukaryota; Viridiplantae; Streptophyta; Magnoliopsida; Fabales; Fabaceae. The transcript is spliced from 7 exons.